CCUACGGGAGGCAGCAGUGGGGAAUAUUGCGCAAUGGGGGCAACCCUGACGCAGCAACGCCGCGUGAAGGAAGAAGGUCUUCGGAUUGUAAACUUUUGUCUUAUGGGAAGAUAAUGACGGUACCAUAGGAGGAAGCUCCGGCUAACUACGUGCCAGCAGCCGCGGUAAUA
RNAcentral lists this ribosomal RNA (170 nucleotides) under uncultured bacterium. RNAcentral describes it as "partial 16S ribosomal RNA". It matches the Rfam family "Bacterial small subunit ribosomal RNA", at positions 338 to 525 of the family's 1533-position model. The record is from RNAcentral.